CCUACGGGAGGCAGCAGUGAGGAAUAUUGGUCAAUGGGCGCAAGCCUGAACCAGCCAUGCCGCGUGCAGGACGACGCAUCUAUGGUGUGUAAACUGCUUUUGUACGGGAAGAAACCCUGCCACGUGUGGCAGAUUGACGGUACCGUAAGAAUAAGGAUCGGCUAACUCCGUGCCAGCAGCCGCGGUAAUACGGAGGAUCCAAGCGUUAUCCGGAAUCAUUGGGUUUAAAGGGUCCGUAGGCGGUUUUAUAAGUCAGUGGUGAAAUCCGGCAGCUCAACUGUCGAACUGCCAUUGAUACUGUAGGACUUGAAUUAUUGUGAAGUAACUAGAAUAUGUAGUGUAGCGGUGAAAUGCUUAGAUAUUACAUGGAAUACCCAUUGCGAAGGCAGGUUACUAACAAUAUAUUGACGCUGAUGGACGAAAGCGUGGGGAGCGAACAGGAUUAGAUACCCUGGUAGUCCACGCCGUAAACGAUGGAUACUAGCUGUUCGGAUGCAAAAUCUGAGUGGCUAAGCGAAAGUGAUAAGUAUCCAACCUGGGGAGUUACGAACGUAAGUUUGAAACUCAAAUUGAAUUGACGG
This 581-nucleotide ribosomal RNA is filed under the name uncultured bacterium. RNAcentral's name for it is "bacterial SSU rRNA". It matches the Rfam family "Bacterial small subunit ribosomal RNA", at positions 338 to 916 of the family's 1533-position model. The record is from RNAcentral.